GAGAAAAGAGAGGAGUCGUGUUGCGGUGGGUUUCGAUACAAAAUUCAUUCCUUUAUCAAUGGCGACUCAGAUUCUACUCAGAGUUAAACUCGCUUUGAAGCUUCCAAAAUGCCCUUUCAUGGCCAUUCGCUCCAAAACAACUUCAUCUCAGUAUGUGGCGUCACGGGCCAGAGACCCCACCUUCGAGAAAUUCAUGAGCAACUACAAAAACUUUCUUAAGGUAGUCUCGGUUCAAGAUCUCAUCCUUGCUAACCCUAAAAACCCUACACUUCCCCUUGAUUUCCUCGACAGGCUUUCUCAGAAAUUCCACCUCAACCGUGGAGCACUUCAUUUCAUCCGUAAAUAUCCCCAUAUUUUCACGCUCUCCUAUGAUACCUUCAAGUCAAAACCAUUCUUCAAAUUAACUGAAGCUGCAUUUGAGAUUUCCCGCCAAGAAGCUGCUGCAAUUGAUGCUUCGAAGCCCGUUGUCAUUGACCGAUUAGUUCGACUUCUCUCAUUGUCUAUCUCAAAAUCUCUACCCCUUAGAGCAAUUUUCAAAGUCUGGAGGGAACUUGGCUUGCCCGAUGAUUUUGAGGAUUCGAUAAUCUCCCACAACCCUACUCUUUUCUCUCUCUGUGAUGCCCAUGAACCUAAAACUCAUAUCUUGAAAUUGGUGCCUGGAAACCUAAAUACUGGCUUUUCAGACGCAGUUGAGAACUGGAGGAAUUUUGAAUCUUGUAGGGAGGAUGCUAGGGUUGAUCCAUCAGAAAUUCGAUUUGCUUUUAAACAUGGGUUUCCACCAGGGAUGAGAUUGAGCAAGGAUUUUAAAGCUAAGCUUAAGGAAUGGCAGAGGUUGCCAUAUUUGGGACCUUACGAGGAGAUGGGAGUGAAGAGAAAGUCCAGAGCUGGUAUGAAGGAACUGGAGAAGCGGGCUGUUGCAGUUGUUCAUGAGUUCUUGAGUUUGACAGUGGGGAAAAUGGUGGAGGUGGAGAAGAUCAGCCAUUUUCGGAAAUGGUUUGGGAUUGAUUUGAAUGUUAGGGACCUGUUCUUGGAUCACCCUGGGAUUUUUUAUUUGUCAACCAAGGGGAAGAGACACACCGUUUUCCUGAGAGAGGCUUAUGAACAGGGGCGUUUGAUUGAUCCAAAUCCCGUUUAUGAUGUAAGGAGGAAGCUUUUUGAUCUUGUUAUUCUAGGACGCCGAGGUCUUCGUAUGGAUGACUCUCAGUAGUGUAAAAGAGCUUGAGUAGGAAAGAGAUUAAGUUUUGAAAGUUCUAGAUUCAGAUAUGUCCACAUGAGCAGGUGGAAUAAGAAAUUUUGGAUGCCAUUAGGAUGAAAUGUGUUGUUCGAAUGGUAUUUGGAACUCAUUUAAAAGACCAAGGUACUGAUCGAAAAGGCUUUUGCAGAUCCUAUAGGGAUUAAGGAUUCUGGAAAAGGGAAAGAAAAGGCUCUUUAGGGACCAUUUGGAGGAGUAUAA
This is an RNA transcript of Telopea speciosissima, 1453 nucleotides long. It is a transcript of the gene named protein ROOT PRIMORDIUM DEFECTIVE 1, with no coding region annotated. Lineage: Eukaryota; Viridiplantae; Streptophyta; Magnoliopsida; Proteales; Proteaceae. The record is from RefSeq and is a predicted model, not a curated record. The transcript has 2 exons.